This is a long non-coding RNA of Lycium ferocissimum, 1539 nucleotides long. RefSeq lists it as uncharacterized. The transcript is spliced from 4 exons. The record is from RefSeq and is a predicted model, not a curated record. NCBI's taxonomy places the organism in Eukaryota, Viridiplantae, Streptophyta, Magnoliopsida, Solanales, Solanaceae.
AGGAGGAGGAAAAUCUCCUAGACUUGUUAUGAGGAAAAGGGAUUCUUUUCCUUUAAUGGUUUCCUGCCAUACUGACUUAUUUUUCAAGCUACCUUUGAGGAAAAUUCUAUCGAUUUCCUUGUCAUUGAACUUAAAACAAGCUCCAAAAUAUUUAUUAUGUGAAAAGAAGAAUCAUAGGUACUUUUAACUUAAUAAAUGAUGAGAAAAGUGUAGGAAAAAUAAUCAUAGAAGGUUGAUGCAUGGUUGAGAAGUGCACAUGUAAUUCUCCUGAAAAAAGUUCCAUAUUUUUAUAUGACACAUUUUGUUCUUUCUUUCCUUUAAACAAUUGAUUUGCUAUAUAUCCAAUUCUAUGUUCAAUUUGUUUAGUUGGCUGAUGUGAACUGGCCAGCGAGCAAUUACUAUUUCGGAAAGGUAGAAAUCCAGAAAUCAUGCAAUCAAAGAAUACAAAAUGAGAUCAAGAUCAGCCAUGUUAGUUCAAGAGCUGAUGGAUGGCAUUAUGGAGACAAAAGCUUUCAAAUGGAGACUUAAAAAUGAUUGGACAAUGCAUUAUCAAUAUGUCCAAUGUUGAGUAUAUCAAACUACUGCACCUUUUGCUACAGUCUGACGGUUAACAGAUGAUAUACAACAAGGUCUUUGGAAUGAUCAACUUUUACGAGGAUGCAUCUUCUUUUUGUCUUUCUCAUCAGUGGAAGCAAGCUAAAGAAUGUGUUUUGUUACAAAUACAUAUUGUAUGACUUUGUUCCUCAAAUAAAUGUACACCAUAUGAAAUUAUAUUGUUAAUCUUUUACCAGCUUGAUAUCAUUACAUGAUUUUAGUAAUACUGAUGUCAGGCAUAUGCCCGUGCACACGGGCUAUCUAGUCUAGUAUAACUAUAUAAUAAGUGAAGGUUCAUGAGUAUGACGAAGGGCAUUUUCGCAAAUAUGAACUUCUUUAUGGCUAAUUGUAGGCAUAGCUUUGUGCCCUGAAAAACAAACACGUGUCCCACUAAAACUCCACCUCUUCUACACACUUCGGUUCCAUUUCAAUGGUAUUCUCUCUCAUUCAUCUUCUUCACUCCUAUAUUUUAUCAUUGCAGUGCAUUUCUUUCAAUAGUUAUUCAUUUUGUAGAUAUCUUACGAAGGUUGCCCAUUUCGCCUAAUUUGUGUAUGGUAAGCUUUCAGUUUGUGGGUUAAUUUUUGCUAUAUUCUCUUCCUUUUCAUUUAAUUUCUUCUAGUUUCUUUUUGUUUUUAUCUUUUACUUUUGGUCUUCUUUUUUGGAUUUCAUCCGUUGCUUUUUAAUUUUGCUCACCAUGGAGAUGGAUGUUAUUUGUCUUUGCUCUGUUUUUCCAACCAUGUAUGUGUUAAUUUACAGUGACAGGUAACAAAUUUCAAGUGGUCUAUGCACCUUGGUUUAUGAGGAUAUACAAAGAGAAGUGCUCUCACCGAUUCUCCAGGAUUUUCAGAAUUAUUCAGGGAAUCAUUAUCAAAUUAAUUGAUAUAAUCUAGAAACAAAGCCAAACGUUGUUGCUUCAAUCAACACUCAUGAUCAAGAAUUCAGGUA